RNAcentral lists this long non-coding RNA (232 nucleotides) under Homo sapiens (human). RNAcentral describes it as "HSALNT0147044". Lineage: Eukaryota; Metazoa; Chordata; Mammalia; Primates; Hominidae. The record is from RNAcentral.
AAAUUGUGAGAUAUCUAUACAAUGGAAUAGUACUGCACAAUAAAAAGAACUAAGCUACCGACUACAACAUGGACGACUCUUCAAAAGCAUUAUGCUAAGAAUGAAAGACGUUAGACCCAAAGACAUACAUACGCUACUGUUCCAAGCAUAUGAAAUUCUGGAAAAGGAGAUUUACAUUAAACACAUAUUUCUUGCUGGGCACUGACGGAGGAAGAUGCACCGCUAGCAUACA